RNAcentral lists this unclassified non-coding RNA (1969 nucleotides) under Leishmania donovani. Its description in RNAcentral is "gene:LdHU3.26.3040(CDS-product:hypothetical_prote in_conserved)". The record is from RNAcentral. Lineage: Eukaryota; Euglenozoa; Kinetoplastea; Trypanosomatida; Trypanosomatidae.
CUGCGUGGAUCAUUCAAGCCCCCCCACCUCCCCGGACCACCAUCAACUUGUCUUGGCACGUGUGUGUGUGUGUGUGGGUGCCUGCGUGCUGGAGGGUUUCAGCAGACAUCAUCAACGGCGACUACCUCACCUACGCAUUUACCUAACCCCCUCUCAGUCCUUCCCACUCCACUGCGUCACGAGCCAGUGUGGGUGAGCCAUCCGUACAAGCCGCCACCCCUCUUUUUUUUCUUACGGCAGUGAUAGAGACGAUGCUUGGACGCCGUGUUUUUGGCAGCACGGCCAUCCCGCGCUGCAUGUACACGCGGCUGCACAUCAGCUCGCCGGCGCAGGCGGCUCGCAUGCUACCCGUGCUUGUGCCGCUGACGCCGUCACUGUCGAAUUCUAUCGGCGGUAUGAUGAACGCUGUCGCGCAGGGCUCGCUAGAGUCGAUGCCAACGUUAGAAGUUGGAGAGCAGGACCCUGCGUCGCUCAAGGCCCUUCUGGAGAGUAUUUCUCCGCUGCAGCUGGGGGUUUCACGAUUGUUCGAAUUAUGGGGCAUUUUCCGUGUAAACGUGAUGGUAAACACGAUAUUGGGAAGGUCAGCUGCGAUGCUUCACUGCUGCUGCUGCUGAUGGUGCCACGAUGUGUAUCUGUGCUUGAGAAGAACGCAGCAACAACAAAGGACAGCACUCGACGCGCGCGCUUAUGUAGGUGCGACUACGCGAGGUGUCAGUGGGCUGAUCGGCUAUGGACGCAGCCGCUCUCUCUUCGUUUCUUCGGGUUUCGCUAUAUGUUAAACGCAUUGUCUUUCUGACGUCUCUAUCUUUCUCUCGUUCCGUUUUGCAUCCCUCUGCAUCCACCUGUCUGUCCCGUCCUGUCCCGUCCCGGUCCCGCCCCCUUUCUCUCCUUCUUCGCCCCUCCUGCGCUCUCUCUGUCGAUUCGGGGCUCGCUAACGCACGCCUCCGUGUGAUGUACCUUAUCAAGCGUUGCGAGGUGCGUCGGUGCCUGCUGCGACACAAGAGGGAGAGAGACGGAGACGAGAGGGAGGCCCGCUCCGCUCCAGCGGAUCUCCUGACUGACGGCGUACGAGUUAAUGCGCGCGUGUGUGUGCGCGCUGCAUCAGGAGGGAGGAAGACUAGAGGAAUCGUAGUCAAGAGAGAGAAGGGGGUGGGUGGUCGUGGCAGAUGGCAGGGUGUACGCGACUGAGAGUGGAGUUGACGUGAAUGAGGUCACAGAUUCAUCUUUCCUUUUAUCUUUUUUUUUGUUCUGUCUGUGUGUUGUGCUCUUUUCUGUGUUGGGUUCUUAGUUGAUGCUGCCCGUGUGUUUGCGUUCAUGUGUGUGCGUGUAUCUGUCUGCCUUGGUCAUUCAACUAACUCUGCCGUGCUUCUUUCGUGUGUAUGUAUGUGUGUGUGUGUGGUUCUCGCCUCUACUGAGGGUAACUGUCCGCCUCCUUUUUUGAGCUGAAGCAAUAACCUCAGAAGAGAGAAGCGCGAUGGAUGACAACAACAGCCGGGAUGGGUGGGAGAGGAAGAGGAGGUCCGAAAUGUGCUCUGACCCUGCCUACAUGAAGAGAUGCUAAGCGUUCCUUGGAAGUCUCUUUUCGAAGGCUUUGCUAGUGUGCUUGGCAGAGAACUACAGGGCUUCAGAAGAGGAGGGUGGAGGGUGGAGUGGGCUGCAUCAGCCGCGGCGGCCUUCCCUCACCUUUUUUCACAUUUUUCUUACUGUAAGCCCUGCACCCCUCACGCUUCUUCCCUUCCUCCAUCUCCACGGCGCCGUGUGCACCUGUGCCUGUUCCAAGCGAACAACUGACGGAAUUGGGAAGUGCAUGUGCGCUUGUGUGUGCAUGUGCACAACCCGCGCAUGUACCUCUCUGUAUGCCGACUCUCUAUCAUCCUUCCUCGUCACAUUCUUCGUCUUUGUGUGUUGUUGUCUUCUCCAUCACCGCUCCCCCUCCCUCCUCUCACUCUCUCGGUUUCCGCCGUGGUAG